UACGUAGGGUCCAAGCGUUAUCCGGAAUCACUGGGCGUAAAGCGUGCGUAGGCGGGAUCUUAAAUGUGAUGUGAAAUCCUGUGGCUCAACCAUAUGGACUAUAUCGCAGACUGGGAACCUGGAGGAUGGCAGAGGCUAGUGGAAUUACCGGUGUAGCAGUGAAAUGCGUAGAUAUCGGUAGGAACACCAAUGGCGAAGGCAGCUAGCUGGGCCAUUUCUGACGCUAAGGCACGAAAGCGUGGGGAGCGAACGGG
This 254-nucleotide ribosomal RNA is filed under the name uncultured bacterium. Its description in RNAcentral is "partial 16S ribosomal RNA". It matches the Rfam family "Bacterial small subunit ribosomal RNA", at positions 524 to 776 of the family's 1533-position model. The record is from RNAcentral.